RNAcentral lists this ribosomal RNA (292 nucleotides) under uncultured bacterium. Its description in RNAcentral is "partial 16S ribosomal RNA". It matches the Rfam family "Bacterial small subunit ribosomal RNA", at positions 505 to 796 of the family's 1533-position model. The record is from RNAcentral.
GUGUCAGCCGCCGCGGUAAUACGUAGGGCGCAAGCGUUGUCCGGAUUCACUGGGUGUAAAGGGUGCGCAGGCGGGAAUGCAAGUCAGAGGUGAAAUCUCACGGCUUAACCGUGAAACUGCCUUUGAUACUGCAUUUCUUGAGUCAGGGAGAGGUUGAUGGAAUUCCAGGUGUAGCGGUGAAAUGCGUAGAUAUCUGGAAGAACACCGGUGGCGAAGGCGGUCAACUGGCCCUGAACUGACGCUCAGGCACGAAAGCGUGGGGAUCAAACAGGAUUAGAUACCCGCGUAGUCC